This is a long non-coding RNA of Leptopilina boulardi, 1221 nucleotides long. RefSeq lists it as uncharacterized. The record is from RefSeq and is a predicted model, not a curated record. NCBI's taxonomy places the organism in Eukaryota, Metazoa, Arthropoda, Insecta, Hymenoptera, Figitidae. The transcript is spliced from 5 exons.
UGGAUCUAAAUAUAGAUAUGGCGCUAUUUGUCGGGAGUAUUAAAUGGCGUAUAUUAAACACGUGGUGACAGAUUCAUUAGCAUCUUUCUUUUCGUGUAAAACAUAAAGAAAUUUUUAUUCGUAUGCAAUUAAUAGUAAAUUUUUCAAAAGGUGACACUUUUGUUUUUAAAGGAGGAUCAAUCAAAGAGGAGUAGCUAAAAAUGCUAAAGGAUCAUUCAAGGAGGAACAAUAAAAAAUUGAGGAUCCAUCAAAUAGGAGCACUAGCUUCAGACAAAUUCAGAAAGGUUAAUCAAGGAGCGUUGCAAUCUAGGAGGAGAAAUGCUGAAGGAUCGUUCAAGGAAGAGUAGCUUCAGACAAAUUCGGAAAGAUUAUUUAAGAAGAAUCAAUCUAGGAGAAGAAAUGCUGAUGGAUCGUUCAAGGAAGAGCAGCUUCAGACAAAUUCGGAAAGAUUAUUCAAGGAGAAUCAAUCUAGGAGGAUAGAAAUGCUGAAGGAUCAUUUCAAGGAGAAACAAUAAAAAAUUGUUUGUAGGAGUCCGUUUCUUGAAGGAUGGGUGUUUGUUGCGGAGCAGCUCCUGGAGGAGAUCUGGCAUAGCUGAGUCGCAGUUCAAUGGGAGAGUGGACAACGUUGGAUCAUUUCAGUUUUCCAGAAAAUUAUUUAAAAAUCUCUACCAAACUCCAAAAAAGGCAGUUGGUUCUAGUGAAAGUGUUUACAAAGUGAAUAUAGUGUCAUCGUAUCAUCGUCACAAUGUGAGAAUUCCAAUUAUCAACCAGAAUGACAGGAAGGAUGUGGACGAAGAAAAACGGUCCCAGCAUGUUGCCAAAUUUUUCAAAAAUAGUCUUUUCUUUUAUUUAUUUAUUUAUUUUUUUUGCUUGGCAACAUCGCUCUCGAUCUGCGCAGAAGUGCAAUCAAGAAGCAGAGAUCUUCGAGAGUGGCCACAAGAGGAAGGAGGAACAAUGCAAACCUUGUUCCGACGUGGGAUGUUCGCCGAUUGAUGAGUCGUUUUUUAAUUUAACCCCUUCCCUGUUUGAAUUAAUUAAUUAAUUUUGAUUUAAUUGAUUUUCUUUAAAUUUAUUUAUACAGUUCAUUAAUAUUUAUAAAUUGAAUAUUAAAAUUUUCGAUAUCAAUUUUAACUUAUGAAUUUUGGAACAUUAAUUUUUUGACUUUAUUUAAAAUAUAAAUUAUCAGUCUCAUUCAAACAAAACAUUUGAAACAAUUUUUUA